RNAcentral lists this transfer RNA (86 nucleotides) under Tractidigestivibacter scatoligenes. RNAcentral describes it as "Olsenella scatoligenes tRNA". It matches the Rfam family "tRNA". From Rfam's summary of the family: Transfer RNA (tRNA) molecules are approximately 80 nucleotides in length. Their secondary structure includes four short double-helical elements and three loops (D, anti-codon, and T loops). The record is from Rfam by way of RNAcentral. Lineage: Bacteria; Bacillati; Actinomycetota; Coriobacteriia; Coriobacteriales; Atopobiaceae. RNAcentral also lists the same sequence under 3 other names.
GGAGGGGUGGCAGAGUGGUUGAUUGCAGCGGUCUUGAAAACCGCCGGGCGCCUUGCGUCUCGAGGGUUCGAAUCCCUCCCCCUCCG